ACGACUCUCGGCAACGGAUAUCUCGGCUCACGCAUCGAUGAAAACGCAGCGAAAAGAACGCAGCAAAAUGCGAUACUUGGUGUGAAUUGCAGAAUCCCGUGAACCAUCGAGUUUUUGAACGCAAGUUGCGCCCGAAGCCAUCCGGUUGAGGGCACGUCUGCCUGGGAGUCACG
Molecule: ribosomal RNA, 173 nt
Filed under: Diodontium filifolium
Lineage: Eukaryota; Viridiplantae; Streptophyta; Magnoliopsida; Asterales; Asteraceae
Description: 5.8S ribosomal RNA
Rfam family: 5.8S ribosomal RNA
About the family: 5.8S ribosomal RNA (5.8S rRNA) is a component of the large subunit of the eukaryotic ribosome. It is transcribed by RNA polymerase I as part of the 45S precursor that also contains 18S and 28S rRNA. Functionally, it is thought that 5.8S rRNA may be involved in ribosome translocation.
Source: RNAcentral